RNAcentral lists this transfer RNA (73 nucleotides) under Canis lupus familiaris (dog). It matches the Rfam family "tRNA". Rfam says of the family: Transfer RNA (tRNA) molecules are approximately 80 nucleotides in length. RNAcentral also lists the same sequence under 1 other name. The record is from Rfam by way of RNAcentral. Lineage: Eukaryota; Metazoa; Chordata; Mammalia; Carnivora; Canidae.
ACCUGGCUGGCUCAGUUGGUAGAGUAUGCGACUCUUAAUCUCAGGGUCAUGAGUUCAAGCCCCACAUUGGGUA